GGACCCGUAGCUCAGCUGGAUAGAGCGUCGCCCUCCGAAGGCGAAGGCCGAAGGUUCGAAUCCUUUCGGGUCCGCCA
RNAcentral lists this transfer RNA (77 nucleotides) under Janthinobacterium lividum. RNAcentral's name for it is "tRNA-Arg". It matches the Rfam family "tRNA". Rfam says of the family: Transfer RNA (tRNA) molecules are approximately 80 nucleotides in length. Their secondary structure includes four short double-helical elements and three loops (D, anti-codon, and T loops). The record is from RNAcentral. RNAcentral also lists the same sequence under 2 other names. Lineage: Bacteria; Pseudomonadati; Pseudomonadota; Betaproteobacteria; Burkholderiales; Oxalobacteraceae.